RNAcentral lists this ribosomal RNA (253 nucleotides) under uncultured bacterium. Its description in RNAcentral is "partial 16S ribosomal RNA". It matches the Rfam family "Bacterial small subunit ribosomal RNA", at positions 524 to 776 of the family's 1533-position model. The record is from RNAcentral.
UACGUAGGGUGCGAGCGUUGUCCGGAAUUAUUGGGCGUAAAGAGCGUGUAGGUGGCCAGGUAGGUCUGCUGUGAAAACUCGAGGCUUAACCUCGAGCUGUCGGCGGAAACCAUCUGGCUAGAGUCCGGAAGAGGAGAAUGGAAUUCCCGGUGUAGCGGUGAAAUGCGCAGAUAUCGGGAAGAACACCCGUGGCGAAGGCGGUUCUCUGGGACGGUACUGACGCUGAGACGCGAAAGCGUGGGGAGCGAACAGG